Coniophora puteana RWD-64-598 SS2 is the source of this 110-nucleotide transfer RNA. It matches the Rfam family "tRNA". Rfam says of the family: Transfer RNA (tRNA) molecules are approximately 80 nucleotides in length. Their secondary structure includes four short double-helical elements and three loops (D, anti-codon, and T loops). The record is from Rfam. Lineage: Eukaryota; Fungi; Basidiomycota; Agaricomycetes; Boletales; Coniophoraceae.
GGCAAGAUGGCCGAGCGGUCUAUGGCGUGUGACUCAAGCGAAAGCUUGCCUGCAAAGCACAGGUUUCUCAUCUCUUAAUUGAGGCGUGGGUUCGAAUCCCACUCUUGUCA